RNAcentral lists this ribosomal RNA (253 nucleotides) under uncultured bacterium. Its description in RNAcentral is "partial 16S ribosomal RNA". It matches the Rfam family "Bacterial small subunit ribosomal RNA", at positions 524 to 776 of the family's 1533-position model. The record is from RNAcentral.
UACGAAGGGGGCUAGCGUUGCUCGGAAUGACUGGGCGUAAAGGGCGCGUAGGCGGAUGGCAUAGUCAGAUGUGAAAUUCCCGGGCUUAACCUGGGGACUGCAUUUGAUACGUGUCGUCUUGAGUUCGGAAGAGGGUCGUGGAAUUCCCAGUGUAGAGGUGAAAUUCGUAGAUAUUCGCAAGAACACCAGUGGCGAAGGCGGCCAACUGGACCAACACUGACGCUGAGGCGCGAAAGCGUGGGGAGCAAACAGG